GUGGAUGGCUUGAGCCCAGGAGUUUGAGACCAGCCUGGCCAACAUGGCGAAACCCCAUCUCUACAAAAAAUACAAAAAUUAGCCAGGCGUGGUGAUGCAUGCCUGUAGUCCUAGCUAUUCGGGGGACUGAAGUGUGAGAAGCACUUGAGCCUGGGAGGUUGAGUGAGACGUGAUUGUACCACUGCACUCCAGCCCAGGAGACACAGAGAGACCCUGUCUCAAACAAUAAAAAUGAAAAUAACAAAAAUCCAUUGUUCUUCUUUUUUCUUCUAAUAGAGCCCUGGUUCUUUUUUCUAUGGUGAGGAUACAGAAUAUGCCUAGUCCUGGGGGAUUAAUAGUUAAUCUAAGGCAGUGAUGACAAUCUCAUUGUACUUUGCAAUAUAUUUACUUUCCCAUACUCUCUUGAGCUAGAGAAGAUCAAAUAAUCAAGUUCGGAUCAAUGAGACUUAAGAGAAAGUCACCCGAGGAGCUUUUAAGGAUUUCCCUUUUGAUUAGGAAAACAUAAAUCAGGCAAGGAGAGCUUACUGGUGCCUCCUUCUUUUCCUUCUUCCUUUCCUCCCCCUACUCCCUCUUCUCCACCUCCACUUCCUCCUCCCUCUCUUUUUCUGCUUUCUGCCUUCUUCUUAAUUUUAUUUUAGUAAGUAUGCUUAACAGCUCUAUCCUCUUAACAGAUGUUUUUUUUUCUUUUGAGACAGAGUUUUGCUCUUUUUGCCCAGGCUGCAAUGGCGUGAUCUUGGCUCACCGCAACCUCCGCCUCCCGGAUUCAAGCGAUUCUCCUGCCUCAGCCUCCCAAGUAGCUGGAAUUACAGAUAAAUGUUUCAGAAUGCUGCCACCAACCAUCCUGCAACCAUGAGUGGCAAGCCCAAGACCAAAAACCAAAUAUUGAGGAUGGCAAAGAAAAAAGAAAGAGACUGGACUGUUGGGGACAUCACUGAGCCACUUUGCCAAACCUGGAGUUGCCUACCUUCAAAAGUUUUGUUAUAUGACAUAAUUAAUCUUUACUGCUUUGCCACUUCUGGUGGAAUAUUUUAUUACUAUCACCAGAAGCAUUUCUUGGCUUCAAUAACACACAUACUCCAGUGUCACCUGCUUCAAGAGCACUCUACUCAUAAUUCUGACUAAUGUACAUUUCCACAUGUCUGACCCAAAGGAGGAAGAGGCAGAGCAAGACGGCUCAAUAGAAGCCUCCACUAAUUGUCCUCCCCACUGGAACACCAAAUUGAACAACUAUCCACACAAAGAAGCACCUUCGUAAGAACCAAAAAUCAGGUGUGCCAGACAGAAAGUCAUCUCUCUGCUCAACUGAGACAAAUGCAGAUUCAUUGAGCCAGACUAAGGCAUAAGUGACUAUUCCUCUAUGUUCCCCAACAUGUAAAUUGUGGAUUCAGUGAAAGGCUGAUUGAAGAGUCAGAAGAAUGUAACUUUUUGUCUCUUAUCUACCUGGAACCACACCUUAUCUACCUGGAACUGUCCCCUCCCCGCCCCCCCAAUCCCGCCCUGUUUUGAGUUGUCCUGCCUUUCUGGACCAAAUCAAUGCACAUCUUACACAUAUUGAUUGAUGUCUCAUAUCUCCCUAAAAUGUGUAAAAGUGAGCUGUACCCUGACCACCUUGAGCACAUGUUGCCAGGACACAGCCUCCUGAGGGUACAUCUUUAACCUUGGCAAAAUAAACUUUCUAAAUUGAUUAAGGCCUGUCUCAGACACUUUGAGUUGACAAUACACAAAAACUAAAAAGGAAGAAAUUAAAAGAUACCACCAGAGAAAAUCGCAUUCACUAAAAGGAAGACCACAAAACAACCAGAAAACAAAUAACAAAAUGGCAGGCAUAAGUCCUUACUUAUCAAAAAUAGCAUUGAAUGUAAAUGAAAUAAACUCUCCAAUCAAAAGACAUACCAUGGCUGAAUGGAUUUAAAAACAAGACCCAAUGAUCUUUUGCCUACAAGAAACACAUUUCACCUAUAAAUAUAUGUAUAGACUAAAAAUAAAGGGAUGGAAAAAUAUAUUCCCUGCAAGUGGAAACCAAAAAUGAGUAGGAAUAGCUAUACUUACAUCAGAUAAAAUAGAUUUCAAGACAAAUGCUACCAUGCCCAGUUAAAUGUUUUUUUUUUUUAAAGUGUUUGUAGAGACAGGGGUCUUGCUAAGUUGCCCAGGCUGGUCUUGAACUCCCGGUCUCAAGCCAUCUUCCUGCAUCAGCCUCCCAAAGUGCUAUAGGCAUGAGCUACUGGGCCUGCACUGUUUUUCUUUUAAUAUUUUAGAGACAUUGUUCUACUAUCUGCUGGCUUGCAUUGUUUACACUGAGAAUCUUCUGUAAUUCUUAUGUUUGUCCCUCUGUAUGUAAUAUGCCUUUUUUCUCCUGCAUUUUUAACAUUUUCUCUUUGCCACUAA
RNAcentral lists this long non-coding RNA (2385 nucleotides) under Homo sapiens (human). Its description in RNAcentral is "HSALNT0186707". The record is from RNAcentral. Lineage: Eukaryota; Metazoa; Chordata; Mammalia; Primates; Hominidae.